Molecule: unclassified non-coding RNA, 327 nt
Filed under: soil metagenome
Description: partial contains 5.8S ribosomal RNA, internal transcribed spacer 2, and large subunit ribosomal RNA
Rfam family: 5.8S ribosomal RNA (bases 1-120)
Source: RNAcentral
GAUGAAGAACGUAGUGAAAUGCGAUACGUAAUGUGAAUUGCAGAAUUCAGUGAAUCAUCGAAUCUUUGAACGCACAUUGCGCCCCUUGGUAUUCCGAGGGGCAUGCCUGUUCGAGCGUCAUUUUGACCACUCCCGCUUGCGGGGUCUUGGGCCUUCGCCUCUGGGCGGGCCUUAAAAUCAGUGGCGGUGCCGUCCGGCUCUAAGCGUAGUAAAUCUCCUCGCUAUAGGGUUCCGGAGGGAUGCUGGCCAACAACCCCCAACUUUUAAGGUUGACCUCGGAUCAGGUAGGGAUACCCGCUGAACUUAAGCAUAUCAAUAAGCGGAGGA